AUAUGAAGGCAGCAUGGUAAUGUGCACAGAAAUGGAUUUCAGGGUCAACAUGUCUGCUCUCUCUGAUUCCCUGAUUUGAGGGCCUGGUUGCGACCCACAUUU
Small nucleolar RNA from Ziziphus jujuba (common jujube), 102 nucleotides. RefSeq annotates it as small nucleolar RNA snoR100. The record is from RefSeq and is a predicted model, not a curated record. NCBI's taxonomy places the organism in Eukaryota, Viridiplantae, Streptophyta, Magnoliopsida, Rosales, Rhamnaceae. The transcript has a single exon.